This 468-nucleotide ribosomal RNA is filed under the name uncultured bacterium. Its description in RNAcentral is "partial 16S ribosomal RNA". It matches the Rfam family "Bacterial small subunit ribosomal RNA", at positions 28 to 507 of the family's 1533-position model. The record is from RNAcentral.
GACGAACGCUGGCGGCGUGCUUAACACAUGCAAGUCGAACGGAAAGACCCUGCUUUUGUGGGGUGCUCGAGUGGCGAACGGGUGAGUAACACGUGAGUAACCUGCCCUUGACUUUGGGAUAACUUCAGGAAACUGGGGCUAAUACCGGAUAGGAGCUCCUGCUGCAUGGUGGGGGUUGGAAAGUUUCGGCGGUUGGGGAUGGACUCGCGGCUUAUCAGCUUGUUGGUGGGGUAGUGGCUUUCCAAGGCUUUGACGGGUAGCCGGCCUGAGAGGGUGACCGGCCACAUUGGGACUGAGAUACGGCCCAGACUCCUACGGGAGGCAGCAGUGGGGAAUAUUGCACAAUGGGCGGAAGCCUGAUGCAGCAACGCCGCGUGCGGGAUGACGGCCUUCGGGUUGUAAACCGCUUUCGCCUGUGACGAAGCGUGAGUGACGGUAAUGGGUAAAGAAGCACCGGCUAACUACGUG